Trifolium pratense (red clover) is the source of this 1217-nucleotide long non-coding RNA. RefSeq lists it as uncharacterized. The record is from RefSeq and is a predicted model, not a curated record. Lineage: Eukaryota; Viridiplantae; Streptophyta; Magnoliopsida; Fabales; Fabaceae. The transcript is spliced from 7 exons.
CUCAAGAACAAAAGCGAAUCUCACAACGAACAAAACCCUUCACUCACCAAAAGCGAACGAUCGAUUCGAAACUAUCUCAAUCGAAAUCCCUCACUCGUCCUCUCUGGAACCCAAACUUGAUCGAUCUGAGGACGACCCAGAUAGAAAUUGGAUCCGAUUAUUGGAUCUGAAUCUAAUGGUGUGCGAUUGGAUGAAAUGGGUCACGCUAUUCUUAUUGUUAUCGUUUUGGGAUUUGGUGCUAGGGUUAUUGUGGAUGUGAGGCUGCAUAUGCAUAAACAAGUGCUCCUCUUUUGGAAUCACAUGGAAGAACAGUGUCAUCAUUGAACAUAACAGAUGAAAAUUUGUCUGCCUCCCUUUUGAAGAUUACUGAUCUUGAAAACUCAUUAGUCGUAGCUGAUGAGAAGUACCGAUAUAUGCAAAAGCUCCGAAAUUAUAUCUCAAAUAUAUGUGACUUUUUGCAGAAAAAGGAAGUUCGGCUGGAACCUUAAAUCAUACAUCAUGCCGUAUUAUUAGUCAUGAAGAUUUUGAAGCCGUGGAUUUGAAUGUUCCAAGAGAUGGAAGCUUUUUGUCAAGUUUCUCCUCUUGUUCCAAAAAUGGCCAAUAUGCUUGAAGGAGGAGGCAAAACACCAAUACUCACUCCUCUUGAACUUGAAGACAUUGGUUAUAAAAUUGUUGCAUAUCCCCUUUCCUUGAUUGGGGUUUCUAUUCGAGCAAUGCAGCAGAGUUUCUAUUGUAAUUAUAUUAUCUCACAAUAAUAAGCAUCUGCUACAAGACACACACACAACGGCUACAACCUAACGGUAAUGAUUGUGGAUAUUAUGUAAUGAAGAAUAUGCUUGACAUUGUCACCGCUAGUAUUACAAAGAAUUGGAUGGAGGUGUUCGAUGAUCCCACGUUAUUAACAGAGGAGGAGCUGUAUGAAUUGCGAAACAGCUAGGCAACUUGUUUUCUUGACCUAUAUAAUCCCGAGGUAGAUUAUGAUGUUGCCGAUGAUGAGGCUUAAGAGCUAGCUAGGUUAAUUUGUGUGAUGUUACAAUGAAUUCAUAUUAAUUAUGAUGUUUUGAAUUGUAAUGACAUUUGGUAUUUUGCUUGAAUGUUGAAUUAAUUGUAUGACAUUUUGGAUGAAUGUUGAAAUAUUGUAUGACAUUUGAUAUUUUGGAUGAUGUUGAAUUUUAAUGACAUUUGAUUAUAUAUUAUGUAAUUGUAUUUUGGUUGAA